UACGUAGGGGGCAAGCGUUGUCCGGAUUUAUUGGGCGUAAAGAGCUCGUAGGCGGCUUGCUAAGUCAGGGGUGAAAUCCCAGGGCUCAACCCUGGAACUGCCUUUGAUACUGACGAUCUGGAGAUCGGGAGAGGUUGGUGGAAUUCCGAGUGUAGAGGUGAAAUUCGUAGAUAUUCGGAGGAACACCAGAAGCGAAGGCGGCCAACUGGCCCGAUACUGACGCUGAGGCGCGAAAGCGUGGGGAGCAAACAGG
Molecule: ribosomal RNA, 253 nt
Filed under: uncultured bacterium
Lineage: Bacteria
Description: partial 16S ribosomal RNA
Rfam family: Bacterial small subunit ribosomal RNA
Source: RNAcentral